UUUCUAUGGAGAGUUUGAUCCUGGCUCAGGACGAACGCUGGCGGCGUGCUUAACACAUGCAAGGCGAGCGAGGAAACACCUUCGGGUGUGAAUUAGCGGCGAACGGGUGAGGAACACGUGAGAAAUCUGCCUUCAACUCUGGGAUAACUCCGGGAAACCGGGGCUAAUACCGGAUAUGAGCCUUGAUCGCAUGAUCGGGGCUGGAAAGUUUUUCGGUUGAAGAUGAUCUCGCGGCCUAUCAGCUUGUUGGUGAGGUAGUGGCUCAGCAAGGCGACGACGGGUAGCCGGCCUGAGAGG
Molecule: ribosomal RNA, 297 nt
Filed under: Actinomycetota bacterium
Lineage: Bacteria; Bacillati; Actinomycetota
Description: Actinobacteria bacterium partial 16S ribosomal RNA
Rfam family: Bacterial small subunit ribosomal RNA
Source: RNAcentral